RNAcentral lists this ribosomal RNA (477 nucleotides) under uncultured bacterium. RNAcentral's name for it is "bacterial SSU rRNA". It matches the Rfam family "Bacterial small subunit ribosomal RNA", at positions 30 to 504 of the family's 1533-position model. The record is from RNAcentral.
UGAACGCUGGCGGCAUGCCUUACACAUGCAAGUCGAACGGUAACGCGGGGCAACCUGGCGACGAGUGGCGAACGGGUGAGUAAUAUAUCGGAACGUGCCCAGUAGUGGGGGAUAGCCCGGCGAAAGCCGGAUUAAUACCGCAUGAGACCUGAGGGUGAAAGCGGGGGAUCGCAAGACCUCGCGCUAUUGGAGCGGCCGAUAUCAGAUUAGCUAGUUGGUGGGGUAAAGGCCUACCAAGGCAACGAUCUGUAGUUGGUCUGAGAGGACGACCAGCCACACUGGGACUGAGACACGGCCCAGACUCCUACGGGAGGCAGCAGUGGGGAAUUUUGGACAAUGGGCGCAAGCCUGAUCCAGCAAUGCCGCGUGCAGGAAGAAGGCCUUCGGGUUGUAAACUGCUUUUGUCAGGGAAGAAAUCCUCUGGGUUAAUACCUCGGGGGGAUGACGGUACCUGAAGAAUAAGCACCGGCUAACUAC